Long non-coding RNA from Humulus lupulus (European hop), 1881 nucleotides. RefSeq lists it as uncharacterized. The transcript is spliced from 2 exons. Lineage: Eukaryota; Viridiplantae; Streptophyta; Magnoliopsida; Rosales; Cannabaceae. The record is from RefSeq and is a predicted model, not a curated record.
UCUCUGUCUCUCGUUCUCUCUCUAAACUUCUCAUUGAUUUUUUAAGAUAUCUUGAGUUCUAGAGCUCAGACUAAGGCAGGGUAAGAAUCAUAGUGAUUACGAAGAAGUCUAGAAGCUUUUAAGCAUAACUUUCAAUUGGCAAACAGUUUUAUCAUAGAUCAUUUAAGGUUUUAAAUUUUGAGAUUUUUGGUUUUGAGAUUUUAGAAUUUUCAUUGAAUUUUGAGUUUGGUUGAUGUUUUGUUAAGUUUAAGGGUUGGGUUUUGAUGUUUGUGAGUUGUUGAUACCAUUUAUGUGGUUGAAUUGUAAUAAAACCGUGUUUUGGAACAAUUUUGGGGAGUUUAGAAAUUUGGAAAACGCUGGAGUUCUGGGUUCGUGGGGUCGCGCCGCGACACUGUUCUUGGGGCGUCACGACCCACAUGAACUCAGAGGCGCUGGGGUUCUUCUAAACCGCCUUGGUGCCACAGCGCAUGCACUGUGCCUUUGUGGCUCGGGGCUCUCUUCCUAGAGGCGCGCCAUGACUCCUUUAGGGGCGGGUCGCGGCUCAAAUUGGGCAAAGUGGCCAAAUGAGGUUUUGAGUUGCGUUAACUCAAACUUAAGGGCUUAGGAAGGACUCUACUACCCGAUUUAGUAGAAUUCAAGGUCUCGGAGGCUAGGACUCGAUCCGGAAGCCUUUAUUCGCUCGUUAUUGAUGGUUAUUCAUUGUUAUGGUUUUGACUAGGGUUACCGAUCGACUUCGGAAGAAAGGGGUCAUGCCUGGGGUCGUAAUAUGUGCCUUGUUAAGGACCAGACGUAAGAAAACCGAUAUAUGCACAUAGAGCACUUGAUUUGUAUGCUUAUUAGCUUUGAAUCAUUUGUGAAUAUAUGAUUUAAACUGAUUUUCGGCCAUCGUGUUAAAUGAGGGGUUGUCGGCUAUCGCAUUGAUGUUGGGCCAUUAGGCAAUGCGUGUGGAACGCAGGUCGUAAAGGAGAUUCUUGGAUAAGGGUGCAGUGUCUAAUCACCCAACAAGAACUGCAAGUUGAAUGCUUGAGUACGCAUGUCGCUCGGUUGAUCCACUCGGCAGUGCGUGUGGAACACAAGUCGUGAAGGCGAGUCUUGAAUAAGGGUGUAGUCCCUACUCGCCCGGCAAGAACCGCGAGCUAAAUGCCUGAGUACGCAUGUUGCUUGGUUGGGCCGCUCAGCAAGGCAUGUGGAACACAGGCCGAAAGGCAAGCGUAAUCCGAGGGUGUGGUCCCCACUUGCUCAACAUGAGCCGAGAGUUGAGCGCCUAAGUACACACUCACUCGACUGGGUUGUUCAGCAAGAUUGUUUCCUAGACGGUGUGACUGAGAACAAGUAAAAUAUGAGAGUGUCGUCCACAUUACUCGGCAUGAACCGCAGGCUGGGUGCCUGAGUAUACACCUCGGUCAGUUAGGCCGCUUGGCAGGACUAAUCUCCUAGGCUGAUUAAUUGAAUGUAAGGGCAAGAAUAAGCUGGACUAAUCAUGAGUUGGAGAGCUUGAAGGGCGACGUGUACAUAUGCAGCAUGCUCGACCGCCACAGCCAAGAUUACUUGGGAGGAAUUAGGGGUUGAACCCUGUUUUGUCGCCUAGGGCGACUAUUUUGUAAUGUGUUGGUCUUUUGUCUAUUUAUAAACUAUUUUCUGGGAGUCCAUGUUUAUGUUAAACUCUUUUAAUGAAAAGUAAUACUCUUUUAGCCAAAAUUUUAAUACCUAACUUUUGAGUUAGUUUAAUUACACUUUCUAAAUCCAAAUGAAUCGUUUAGCGAGUUAAACAUUAUUUCAAACACACAGUGUAACGGUUCUGGAUUAGUAGGGCAUUACACAAGCAUUCUUAAAAAAAUGUUUAGCGAACCGUACUAGCAACCAUUCAUUAAAUAUUUUACA